RNAcentral lists this ribosomal RNA (468 nucleotides) under uncultured bacterium. RNAcentral's name for it is "partial 16S ribosomal RNA". It matches the Rfam family "Bacterial small subunit ribosomal RNA", at positions 28 to 507 of the family's 1533-position model. The record is from RNAcentral.
GACGAACGCUGGCGGCGUGCUUAAUACAUGCAAGUCGAACGGAAAGGCCCUGCUUUUGUGGGGUGCUCGAGUGGCGAACGGGUGAGUAACACGUGAGUAACCUGCCCUUGACUUUGGGAUAACUUCAGGAAACUGGGGCUAAUACCGGAUAGGAGCUCCUGCUGCAUGGUGGGGGUUGGAAAGUUUCGGCGGUUGGGGAUGGACUCGCGGCUUAUCAGCUUGUUGGUGGGGUAGUGGCUUACCAAGGCUUUGACGGGUAGCCGGCCUGAGAGGGUGACCGGCCACAUUGGGACUGAGAUACGGCCCAGACUCCUACGGGAGGCAGCAGUGGGGAAUAUUGCACAAUGGGCGGAAGCCUGAUGCAGCAACGCCGCGUGCGGGAUGACGGCCUUCGGGUUGUAAACCGCCUUCGCCUGUGACGAAGCGUGAGUGACGGUAAUGGGUAAAGAAGCACCGGCUAACUACGUG